Molecule: ribosomal RNA, 1772 nt
Filed under: Salmonella enterica
Lineage: Bacteria; Pseudomonadati; Pseudomonadota; Gammaproteobacteria; Enterobacterales; Enterobacteriaceae
Description: partial 23S ribosomal RNA
Rfam family: Bacterial large subunit ribosomal RNA
Source: RNAcentral
GUAGGGCGGGACACGUGGUAUCCUGUCUGAAUAUGGGGGGACCAUCCUCCAAGGCUAAAUACUCCUGACUGACCGAUAGUGAACCAGUACCGUGAGGGAAAGGCGAAAAGAACCCCGGCGAGGGGAGUGAAAAAGAACCUGAAACCGUGUACGUACAAGCAGUGGGAGCACCCUUUGGGGUGUGACUGCGUACCUUUUGUAUAAUGGGUCAGCGACUUAUAUUCUGUAGCAAGGUUAACCGAAUAGGGGAGCCGGAGGGAAACCGAGUCUUAAUUGGGCGUUAAGUUGCAGGGUAUAGACCCGAAACCCGGUGAUCUAGCCAUGGGCAGGUUGAAGGUUGGGUAACACUAACUGGAGGACCGAACCGACUAAUGUUGAAAAAUUAGCGGAUGACCUGUGGCUGGGGGUGAAAGGCCAAUCAAACCGGGAGAUAGCUGGUUCUCCCCGAAAGCUAUUUAGGUAGCGCCUCGUGAAUUCAUCUCCGGGGGUAGAGCACUGUUUCGGCUAGGGGGCCAUCCCGGCUUACCAACCCGAUGCAAACUGCGAAUACCGGAGAAUGUUAUCACGGGAGACACACGGCGGGUGCUAACGUCCGUCGUGAAGAGGGAAACAACCCAGACCGCCAGCUAAGGUCCCAAAGUCAUGGUUAAGUGGGAAACGAUGUGGGAAGGCCCAGACAGCCAGGAUGUUGGCUUAGAAGCAGCCAUCAUUUAAAGAAAGCGUAAUAGCUCACUGGUCGAGUCGGCCUGCGCGGAAGAUGUAACGGGGCUAAACCAUGCACCGAAGCUGCGGCAGCGACACUCAGGUGUUGUUGGGUAGGGGAGCGUUCUGUAAGCCUGCGAAGGUGGCCUGUGAGGGUUGCUGGAGGUAUCAGAAGUGCGAAUGCUGACAUAAGUAACGAUAAAGCGGGUGAAAAGCCCGCUCGCCGGAAGACCAAGGGUUCCUGUCCAACGUUAAUCGGGGCAGGGUGAGUCGACCCCUAAGGCGAGGCCGAAAGGCGUAGUCGAUGGGAAACGGGUUAAUAUUCCCGUACUUGGUGUUACUGCGAAGGGGGGACGGAGAAGGCUAUGUUGGCCGGGCGACGGUUGUCCCGGUUUAAGCGUGUAGGUGUGUGUUCCAGGUAAAUCCGGUUCACUUUAACACUGAGGCGUGAUGACGAGGCACUACGGUGCUGAAGCAACAAAUGCCCUGCUUCCAGGAAAAGCCUCUAAGCAUCAGGUAACAUCAAAUCGUACCCCAAACCGACACAGGUGGUCAGGUAGAGAAUACCAAGGCGCUUGAGAGAACUCGGGUGAAGGAACUAGGCAAAAUGGUGCCGUAACUUCGGGAGAAGGCACGCUGACACGUAGGUGAAGUGAUUUACUCAUGGAGCUGAAGUCAGUCGAAGAUACCAGCUGGCUGCAACUGUUUAUUAAAAACACAGCACUGUGCAAACACGAAAGUGGACGUAUACGGUGUGACGCCUGCCCGGUGCCGGAAGGUUAAUUGAUGGGGUCAGCGCAAGCGAAGCUCCUGAUCGAAGCCCCGGUAAACGGCGGCCGUAACUAUAACGGUCCUAAGGUAGCGAAAUUCCUUGUCGGGUAAGUUCCGACCUGCACGAAUGGCGUAAUGAUGGCCAGGCUGUCUCCACCCGAGACUCAGUGAAAUUGAACUCGCUGUGAAGAUGCAGUGUACCCGCGGCAAGACGGAAAGACCCCGUGAACCUUUACUAUAGCUUGACACUGAACAUUGAGCCUUGAUGUGUAGGAUAGGUGGGAGGCUUUGAAGUGUGG